This 458-nucleotide ribosomal RNA is filed under the name uncultured bacterium. RNAcentral describes it as "partial 16S ribosomal RNA". It matches the Rfam family "Bacterial small subunit ribosomal RNA", at positions 338 to 795 of the family's 1533-position model. The record is from RNAcentral.
CCUACGGGGGGCAGCAGUGAGGAAUAUUGGUCAAUGGUCGAGAGCCUGAACCAGCCAAGUCGCGUGAGGGAGUAAUGCCCUAUGGGUUGUAAACCUCUUUUGUCGGGGAGCAAAAGCCGGACGUGUCCGGCUGUUAGAUUACCCGAAGAAAAAGCAUCGGCUAACUCCGUUCCAGCAGCCGCGGUAAUUCGGAGGAUGCGAGCGUUAUCCCGAUUUAUUGGGUUUAAAGGGUGCGCAGGCGGAUUUUUAAGUCAGCGGUCAAAUCGUGGGGCUCAACCCCAUCCAGCCGUUGAAACUGGGGAUCUAGAGUGUGCGAGAGGUAUGCGGAAUGCGUGGUGUAGCGGUGAAAUGCAUAGAUAUCACGCAGAACCCCGAUUGCGAAGGCAGCAUACCGGUGCACAACUGACGCUCAGGCACGAAAGCGUGGGUAUCGAACAGGAUUAGAUACCCGUGUAGUC